This 358-nucleotide RNase P RNA is filed under the name Candidatus Kaiserbacteria bacterium CG10_big_fil_rev_8_21_14_0_10_49_17. RNAcentral's name for it is "RNase P RNA component class A". It matches the Rfam family "Bacterial RNase P class A". From Rfam's summary of the family: Ribonuclease P (RNase P) is a ubiquitous endoribonuclease, found in archaea, bacteria and eukarya as well as chloroplasts and mitochondria. Its best characterised activity is the generation of mature 5'-ends of tRNAs by cleaving the 5'-leader elements of precursor-tRNAs. Cellular RNase Ps are ribonucleoproteins. The record is from RNAcentral. Lineage: Bacteria; Candidatus Kaiseribacteriota.
AAGUUGCAUCGGAUAGUCGCGCUCAGUUCCAUGCACUGAGAUUGAGUGAGGAAAGUCCGGACACUCCCAUUUUUUUAAAUGGAGUACGGUAGUAGGUAACGCCUACCUGGAGUAAUCCACGGGGUGCGAACAGAGACGCCCGAGCCGAGAGGCAGAGGCAUCCGGCUCCGCGCAGUGGAGCCGGAUGAGUCUUGGUGGUAACACUGAGAUUGAAACGGCUAAAUCCCUACCUGAGUGCAAGGUCGUGCCCAGCGCAAGCUGGGAGUGCCGCAUGAAGUGGUUGGCGACAAUCACCCAAGAUAAAUGACUAUCGUCUGCUCUGCAGAUACAGAAUCCGGCUUAUAAGUGCAACGAGUGA